This 400-nucleotide ribosomal RNA is filed under the name uncultured bacterium. Its description in RNAcentral is "bacterial SSU rRNA". It matches the Rfam family "Bacterial small subunit ribosomal RNA", at positions 358 to 775 of the family's 1533-position model. The record is from RNAcentral.
GGAAUAUUGCACAAUGGAGGAAACUCUGAUGCAGCAACGCCGCGUGGAGGAUGACGCAUUUCGGUGUGUAAACUCCUUUUAAGAGGGAAGAUAAUGACGGUACCUCUUGAAUAAGCACCGGCUAACUCCGUGCCAGCAGCCGCGGUAAUACGGAGGGUGCAAGCGUUACUCGGAAUCACUGGGCGUAAAGGGUGCGUAGGCUGGCUUCUAAGUCAGAUGUGAAAUCCAAUGGCUUAACCAUUGAACUGCAUUUGAAACUGGAAGCCUAGAGUUCAGAAGGUGCAGAUGGAAUUAGUGGUGUAGGGGUAAAAUCCGUAGAUAUCACUAGGAAUAUCAACAGCGAAGGCGAUCUGCUGGGAUGAUACUGACGCUGAGGCACGAAAGCGUGGGGAGCAAACAG